This 392-nucleotide long non-coding RNA is filed under the name Phasianus colchicus (ring-necked pheasant). Its description in RNAcentral is "lncRNA (ENSPCLG00000003303.1)". The record is from RNAcentral. Lineage: Eukaryota; Metazoa; Chordata; Aves; Galliformes; Phasianidae.
GUGAAGUACUGUCUAGCCAUGGUAAAUUAAGUCUCUGCUUUUCCUUAGUCUGUUGCUUUUUCUAUUUUGUGGUGGAAUAAUACUGCAGUGAAAGAGUUCAGAGGGAAUAAGAGGAGGUAUGUAAGAACCAUGCAGAGAAGGACCUUCUGUAUCUGAAACUAUUACUAUGUAGAUGACAGUAGGGCAAUACUACCAUUCUUGCUGGAGGCCUGGAUGCAGAAUUCAGCUGUUCAAGACAGUAGUUGUUUGUGGUUUUCAGUGCUACCCUCAGACAUGGAGACUCUAUGACAACUCAUUAUUUGCGCCUCUGAGAUCUUCUGUGAUCCCUGGAUCAAAUAAACCUCAGUGUGGGCUGCUGAAGGAGAGUGCUUGAUGGAGAUCAUGGGUUUAUG